GCCGCGGAGCCGCGCGGGGCCAUGGCGGCCCCGGACAGCUGCGUGAAGGUGGCCGUGAGGAUCCGCCCGCAGCUGCCCAAAGAGAAGAUAGAGGGAUGUCACAUCUGUACCUCGGUGACGCCUGGCGAGCCCCAGGUGCUGCUGGGGAAGGACAAAGCCUUCACCUAUGACUUUGUCUUUGACCUGGACACGUGGCAGGAGAGGAUCUACACAACAUGCAUGGGGAAGCUCAUCGAGGGCUGCUUCGAGGGCUACAAUGCCACCGUGCUGGCCUACGGGCAGACUGGAGCAGGGAAGACCUACACCAUGGGCACCGGCUUCGACAUGAGCAUCUCGGAGGAGGAGCAGGGCAUCAUCCCGCGGGCCAUCAGCCACCUCUUCAGCGGCAUCGAGGAGCGCAAGCGCGCGGCCCGGAGCCAGGGAGUGGCAGCACCCGAGUUCAAAGUCAGCGCCCAGUUCCUGGAGCUUUACAACGAGGAGAUCCUGGACCUCUUCGACAGCACCCGCGAUCCCGACGCGCGCCACCGCAAAUCCAACAUCAAAAUCCACGAGGAUGCCAGCGGGAGCAUCUACACCACGGGGGUCACCUCACGCCUCAUCAGCUCCCAGGAUGAGCUGAUCCAGUGCCUAAAACAAGGAGCUCUUUCCCGCACCACGGCCAGCACCCAGAUGAACGUGCAGAGCUCCCGGUCCCAUGCCAUCUUCACCAUUCACCUGUGCCAGACCAGAGUGUGUGCCCGCCCAGAGCUGGUGAAUGAGGAGGUGAGCAGCCUUCUGGAUGGAUCCCAACCCGCUGCUGAGUACGAGACCUUGACAGCCAAGUUUCACUUUGUGGACCUGGCUGGCUCGGAGCGGCUGAAGCGGACGGGUGCCACUGGCGAGAGAGCCAAGGAAGGGAUCUCCAUCAACUGUGGGCUGCUGGCCUUGGGGAAUGUCAUCAGUGCCCUUGGGGACCAGAGCAAGAAGGUCGUGCACGUGCCCUACCGUGACUCCAAGCUCACCCGCCUGCUGCAGGAUUCCCUCGGGGGCAACAGCCAAACCAUCAUGAUUGCCUGUGUGAGCCCCUCUGACCGGGAUUUCAUGGAGACCCUGAACACGCUCAAGUACGCCAACCGGGCUCGCAACAUCAAGAACAAGGUGGUGGUGAACCAGGACAAGACGAGCCAGCAGAUCAGCGCCCUGCGGGCUGAGAUCGCCCGUCUGCAGAUGGAGCUGAUGGAGUACAAGGCAGGCAAGCGGGUGAUCGGGGAGGAUGGCACGGAGGGCUACAGCGACCUGUUCCGUGAGAACGCCAUGCUGCAGAAGGAGAACAGCGCCCUGCGCAUGAGGGUGAAGGCCAUGCAGGAGGCCAUCGAUGCCAUCAACAGCAGGGUCACCUACCUCAUGAGCCAGGAGGCCAACCUGAUGCUGGCCAAAGCAGGUGACGGAAACGAAGCCAUCGGCACCCUCAUCCAGAACUACAUCCGGGAGAUCGAGGAGCUGAGGACCAAGCUCCUGGAGAGCGAGUCCAUGAACGAGUCCCUGCGCCGCAGCCUCUCGCGUGCCUCUGCCCGGCCCCCGUUCCCGCUGGGCUCCUCGCCGGGUGCCGGCCUGGCCGGGCUCUGCAGCCCCGCCGCCCCGCUGGACACCGAGGCCUCCGACGUCCUGCGGAGGGCCAAGCAGGACCUGGAGCGCCUGAAAAAGAAGGAGCGGCGGCAGCAGAGGAAGAGCCCGGAGAAGGAGGCGUUUAAGAAGCGGCAGAAACUGCAGCAGGACAACGGGGAGGAGACGGAUGAGAACGAGGUGGAAGAGGAGGAGGAAGAGCAGGAUGAGAGUGGCUGUGAGGAAGAGGAUGGGCGCGAGGAUGAAGAUGAGGACUCGGGCAGCGAAGAGAGCCUGGUGGACUCGGACUCGGAUGCAGAGGAGAAGGCUGUGAAUUUCCAGGCCGACCUGGCGGAUCUGACCUGUGAGAUUGAGAUCAAGCAGAAGCUGAUUGAUGAGCUGGAGAACAGCCAGCGGCGUUUGCAGACCCUCAAGCACCAGUAUGAGGAGAAGCUGAUCCUACUGCAGAACAAGAUUCGGGACACGCAGCUGGAGCGGGACCGGGUCCUGCAAAACCUCAGCACCAUGGAGUGCUACACAGAGGAGAAAGCCAACAAGAUCAAAGCAGACUAUGAGAAGCGGCUGAAGGAGAUGAACCGGGACCUGCAGAAGCUCCAGGCGGCCCAGAAGGAGCACGCUCGCCUGCUCAAGAACCAGUCCCGCUACGAGCGGGAGCUGCGGAAGCUGCAGGCAGAAGUGGCCGAGAUGAAGAAGGCAAAGGUGGCGCUGAUGAAGCAGAUGCGGGAGGAGCAGCAGCGGCGGCGGCUGGCGGAGACCAAGAGGAACCGGGAGAUCGCGCAGCUCAAGAAGGAGCAGCGCCGGCAGGAGUUCCAGAUCAGGGCUCUGGAAUCUCAGAAGCGACAGCAGGAAAUAGUGCUGCGGAGGAAAACCCAGGAGGUGUCAGCGCUGCGCCGCCUGGCCAAGCCCAUGUCGGACCGGGUGGCGGGCAGGAUGAGCCAGAAGCCGGCCAUGCUGGACUCGGGCGCAGAGGUCUCGGCCAGCACCACCUCCUCCGAGCCCGAGUCUGGCGCUCGCUCCGUCUCCAGCAUCGUGCGCCAGUGGAACAGGAAAAUCAACAACUUCCUGGGAGAGCCCUCGUCCUCCAUUAACGGGGCUCGGCCUGCCAGGAAGAAGUUCCCCAAGAAGGGGACGAGCCAGACCUUCAGCAAAGCUGCCCGCCUCAAGUGGCAGUCCCUGGAGCGGCGCAUCUUUGACAUCGUCAUGCAGAGGAUGACCAUCGUCAACCUAGAGGCAGACAUGGAGAGGCUCAUCAAGAAACGCGAGGAGCUCUCACUGCUGCAGGAGGCGUUGCUGGGCAAGCGGGCAAAGCUGCAGGCAGAGAGCCCCAUGGAGCAGAAGGGUCUGCAAGAGCUGAACGAGGAGAUUGAGGUGCUGGGGGCCAACAUUGACUACAUCAACGACAGCAUCUCAGACUGCCAGGCCACCAUCAUGCAGAUUGAGGAGACCAAGGAGGAGCUGGACUCCACGGACACCUCGGUGGUGAUCAGCUCCUGCUCCCUGGCCGAAGCCCGGCUGCUGCUGGACAACUUCCUGAAAGCCUCCAUCGACAAGGGGCUGCAGGUGGCCCAGAAGGAGGCCCAGAUCCGCCUGCUGGAGGGGCGGCUGCGGCAGACGGACGUGGCCAGCUCCUCGCAGAACCACGCCCUGCUGGACGCCCUGAGGGAGAAGGCUGAGUCCCACCCGGAGUUGCAGGCACUGAUCCACAACGUCCAGCAAGAGAACGGCUACACCAGCACGGACGAGGAAGUUUCAGAGUUCAGCCUGGCCUCGGAUGGGAGCAUCUCCCAGUCUUUCACCAUGAAGGGCUCAGCAAGCCAGGAUGACUUCAAGUUCAAGGGAGAGCCCAAGCUCUCGGGGCAGAUGAAGGCGGUGUCGGCUGAGUGUCUGGGCCCCACGCUGGACGUCUCCACCAAGAACAUCACCAAGUCCUUGGCAUCCCUGAUGGAGAUCAAAGAGGACAGGAUUGGCUUCUCCAUCCGAGACCCCUAUUACAAGGAGAAGGUGUCACGCACCAUCAGCCUGCCCACGCGAGGAAGCACCUUUCCCAGGCAGUCCCGGGGCUCGGACACUUCUCCUCUGACAAGGCGGAAAUCCUAUGACCGUGGGCAACCUGCCAGGCCUGCAGACAUCGGCUUCACGCCGCCCUCCUCCCCGCCCACCCGGCCGCGCAACGACCGCAACGUCUUCUCCCGUCUCAGCAGCACCCAGAGCCAGGGAUCUGCCUUGGACAAGUCUGAUGACAGCGAUUCCUCUGUCUCGGAGGUGCUGAGGGGCAUCAUUAACCCAGUGGGUGGCACCAAGAAUGCCCGGACAGCCCCGCUGCAGUGUGUCUCGGUGGCAGAGGGUCACACCAAGCCUGUGCUCUGCCUGGAUGCCACCGAUGAGCUGCUCUUCACUGGCUCCAAAGACCGGAGCUGCAAAAUGUGGAACCUGGUGACAGGCCAGGAAAUCGCUUCUCUCAAGGGUCACCCGAACAACGUGGUUUCCAUCAAGUACUGCAGCCACACGGGGCUGGUGUUCACCGUGUCCACGUCGUACAUCAAGGUGUGGGACAUCCGCGACUCGGCCCGCUGCAUCCGCACCCUCACGUCUUCUGGGCAGGUGAUCUCCGGGGAUGCGUGCGCUGGCACCAGCACCCGCACUGUCACCAGCGUGCAGGGCGAGCACCAGAUCAACCAGAUCGCGCUGAACCCCACGGGCACCGCGCUCUACGCCGCCGCCGGCAACUCCGUGCGCGUCUGGGAGCUGAGCAGGCUGCAGCCCGUGGGAAAGCUGAGUGGCCACAUCGGGCCCGUGAUGUGUCUCACAGUGAACCAGACGGCGAGCAACCACGACCUGGUGGUCACAGGCUCCAAGGAUCACUAUGUCAAGGUGUUUGAGAUCACGGAGGGCAUGGCUGGCAAUAUUGGCCCCACUCACAACUUCGAGCCCCCUCACUACGACGGCAUUGAGUGCCUGGCCAUCCAGGGAGAUGUCCUCUUCAGCGGCUCCAGGGACAACGGCAUAAAGAAGUGGGAUCUGGAGCAGCAGGAACUCAUCCAGCAAAUCCCCAAUGCCCACAAAGACUGGGUCUGUGCCCUGGCCUUCAUCCCCGGCCGCCCCAUGGUGCUGAGCGCCUGCCGAGGGGGCGUCAUCAAGGUCUGGAACGUGGACACCUUCACCCCAGUCGGGGAGAUCAAGGGGCACGACAGCCCCAUCAACGCCAUCUGCACCAACUCCAAGCACAUCUUCACCGCCUCCAGCGACUGCCGGGUAAAGUUAUGGAAUUACGUGCCUGGGCUCACCCCUUGCCUUCCACGACGCGUCCUUGCCAUAAAGGGCCGUGCUACUAGUCUGCCUUGACCCUCCUGCUCUUUGACUCUCUUGCUCAUUCGCUCUUCUUCCGUCUCUCCUUCCCUCUUCUCUCCAUCUCUCCCUCCCUCUGUCCCUCUCACUGUUGCUUUUGCUCCUCUCUCUCUUCCCCCCCCCCCCCCCCAACCCCCUUUUUCUCUGGUCUGAGCUGCUUCUUCACGCGACUUGACAGUGAAGCUCUGGAGUGGGAGGAGGUUGCCUGCGGGGUCAAACUAGGAACUGCAGAAAGACUGGAAGGCGUGGGGGCAGGGUGAAGGGCAGGGUGCCUCCCCCUGCUAGCAGGACUCGGUCACCUACAGGAGCUCAGCCCAGGACAGGGAUUUCUUUGUGCCUCACCCAACAAUGCUGCAUCUGGUGCUUUGAGCGCUGUCAGCUCCUGUGAGGAAGCAGCUCUGUGGGGCACCAGCAGCUCCACCUGCCCUCCUGCUGAGGCUUCUCCAUGGUUCUCCAGUGAACAGGAAAUGUUUCAUCUCUCCUCUCACCCAUCCUGCUGUAAGGACUUCAUGGGGGUCAGAGAUCCCUGACUCCUUCCCUCCUGCCUGUGUGGGCUCCUGUGGCCUCUGCCGUGCUGUGCUGCUCCCGGGCUGGUUCCUGCAGGAGUCUUUCUCCACUCCACGAGGACAUCUGGUGUCUGCUGGCCAGGACCACAACACAGAGGGUGCUUCUCUGGAGCCAUUCCUUGUGCUACACCUCUGCUGUGGGUCUGCAGGAUUUCCUGGUACUCCUAGCCUUCCCUACCCUCUCUGGACUGUCCCCAGUGCUUAGAGGGGUGCACCUCCAGGCUCCUUUGCCAUGUCCCGCCUCGUGAGGCACAGCAAGCCUGGGAAGAUCUCCGUCAGGCAACUUCCAGACAGACCUGCUGGAAGAACACCUGCUCCCUUUGACAUCCUCCAAACCCCGGUUGUAAACUCAACUGCCCCAUGGCUCUGGGCUCUUCCCCACGUGCCCAGCCUGCUCUGCAGUGGGAAGGGGCCGCUCUGGACAUGGUGACCCCCAUCAAGGGUUUGUGAUGGGUUCCUGCAGCGAGUCAACCCCCUUGAGACGGAGAAAUGAAGCGAGAAUGGAGGUUACAGUGCAAAAAAGCCAAGGCUGGAUUUGUCACUCCACUGCUGUGGCUCUGUCUGUCCUCCCCUUAGGUUCUGCCCUCAGACCCCUGCCUGGACUGGAGCUUGCUUAGGCCGGGCGUGCUGGCCCGAGGAUCCAGGGGUGGAGAGGAGCCAGCAGGGCACGGAGCAGCCAGAGUCCUCUGUGGGAGGAGCAGAGGGGAGCGGGUUGCACACACGGAUCUUGCACAAGGCUCCUGAUUCCCCCUGCGCCCCAAGGACAAUCCUGCAGUGGAUCACCUUGCACAACCUCAUCUCCUGGAGGGUCUGGGGGCUCCACCCAGGAGUGUUUCCCCAAGGACACACGUUCUGCAGGCUCUUUCCUCUGUCUCUCCUGUUCAAGGGGGGCUGGUGAAGGCCCUGGUCUCACACUGGAGCUUCCCUCCAUCUCUCCCAUGGCCCAUUGGACCAUCCCCUGCCCUGUCCUGCCCUGGGCCACCCAGGGCUCUUGUGGGAUGGCCGAGGAGACCCCAGGAUGGGUGUUCUUGCCUCACACGCUCUCCUUUCCCCUUUGUCACAGAAGAAGCAGCACUUGAACUCAAAUUUAAGGAUUUCUCCGUGUGAUCCCACCAGCACUGAACUGGGAUCUUGGAGGCCAGGGGCUCCAGGACCUGCCCCAUAAAGCACAGACCAUUUCCCCUCUGCUCUCUCCAACCACGGUGAGACCUUGACCAGCCCCAGGUCCUGUGCCAGCAGCCCUUGUUCUGAGCAUUCUGGCUGGACUGAGGGGAUUCCUCUGCAUCAUGAAAGACAGGAGUAUCUCUAUUGAUUUGGUGGGGGAGGGGGGCUGCCUUUUUUGGGGGGGUAGAUUCCAUCCUGCUGGCUUGCCUUGUUGGAGGGUAAAUGGUACGUGUGUGUGUGUGUGUGUGUGUGUGUGUAUGGGGGUCUGGGGGAGGUCUCUGCCCCCCAGGCCUGUCUGGGAGAGGGUUUCUGCACCCAUUCCUCAGCUGGUUUAUCCUUUGCUUGGCUGGAGGGGCUGUGUGUGUGUGUGAGGUGUCUCUGGCAGAGUGUUUGGCUGUGGCCUGGUGUCAUGUGUGAAUCUCUGUCUGCUCUGAGGUCUCCAGUGCCUGCCCUGGAGCCUUCACUGCUCCCUGCUGCCGUGAGCAGAGGUGGCUCUGGGGCACUAGGGUCAGACCUGCCUUGCCUUUUGCCACCAGUACCUUCCUGUGUGCAGGCUAGAAGUGCCUGCUUAGUGUUCCAGGGCUGAGUGACCAGUCCUGGAGGAUGCUGAGCCUCUCUUGCUGCUGUGUCCAGCAGCCUGGUGAGGGGCUUCAAGGCUCUCACAGCCUGUGGAGGGAGGGAGGGAGGGAGCUGAUGUUGGGGCAUUGGUGUCCUGAGGCAAGGGGGGUUGAAGUGAGGUCUGUCCUGAUUUAGGGAUAGUGCUAAUAGUUCCAAUUUAGUGCUCCCACUGAAGCUGUGCACCACUCACACCCCCAUCCCCAGCAGGGUGGAGAGGGGAAUUGGAGGCACAAAAGAUGAAGAUCACAGAUUGAGAUGAGAGCAAUGUACUGGAAACAGCAGUGAGAUAAAAAACAAACUGGAAACAGCAACAAUAUUAAUAACAAAAGUAUAAAAAGAGAGAAUGAUCCACAUGCAGAAUGCUCACCCUGGAGCCCAUGACCUGACCACAGCCAUGUUUUACUGACCAGAGUAGAUCACAGCAGAAGAGAAGAAAUGGAUUCUGCCCGUGUAUCUCAGUGGCAUCAGGGUACAUUGUGUGUAAAGCCUUAUGCUCUGGAGGAUCUGCUGUGCCAGCCUUGGCUCCACACAGUCCAGCAGAGCCCAUUGCUGCUCUCCCCACCUGGCUGGAGGCAGGGCCCCUCUAGUUCUUGUCGUGGUACUCACUGCUCACUUCUUGCACCGGAAACUGGAGUGGCAUCUGUCCUUGAAGAAUUCCCUGCAGCUGUUGCUUCUCCUCUCAGCUCACACCCAUGCUGCCAGGGCAGAGGUGGGUUUUCCAUCCCACUCCCUCUUGUCCUCUCUGUGGUGAUGCAGGUAAAACCAUAGGUUGCCUUGUGGUGUGUCCCCUCUCUCUCUCGAGGGGGGCAGUUGCUCCCAGCAGCGGACUCGGGUCUGUACUGGUGUGACAUGGGACAUCUCCUCAGUCCACAGAGCGUGGGCUGGGCCACAGGCUUUAGACAGUCUUUUUACACAGUUGAGACACAGGUUGGUAGGAAGGAAAAAAGAUGAUCUUCAUCAUCAGCGUCGGGGAGCCACCUUUAACGCUGUUUGUUCUCCUGUUGGCAUCAGUGCCAGUGGGCCAGUGCGCUCUGUACAACCUCCUGCCACGUGCACUGUGUACACCGGACCUCACCUGCACCUACAGGGGGCUGCUGGUUAUCUGAACCCCCAGGGGCUCCCUCUGACACAGCGAAUUCCCUCAGGUACUGGCUCCCUUCUCCGUGGGCGUCCAGCUGCUUGGCUGCGCUACUCCAUCAUCCUUGAGGGACUGCCUUUCCCUCACACUUGACGGGAAUUGCCUCCAGAGGCUGCGAGGUGCUGUCCUCUUCCCGGUCCCCUUGUCAAUGCCCACAUCCCAGCUCCACUUCCAUCCAGUUCCACAGCGUGGGCUGCACUGUCCCAGCCCUGGAGCAGUCGGGUCACCAGGGGCUCCACCCAGCUGGCAGCUGAAAUCUCUUCACAUCCCAGCUCUGGGUGAUCAUCUCCAGCCCUGCCUCUUCCUCCUGUUCUUCUUUAUCCCUCUCUAUGCAAACUGAUUUGGUCUUGGAUCUCAUCUUCUGUAUAGGGGCGGCUGUAGCCAGCACAGGCUGUUCCUGUGGCUCAGCUGCACUUUGAGUGGCCACGGCGCCUGUUCUGCUUUCCUCCUCCUCCCCCUGAGGAUGCUGUCCAGUGAAAAGCAGUGUCUGGGAAAUGCUAACCAGGCCCCAGCACGCUGCAAUGAGUCUGUCCUCACUGGAGCUGCCACAGCGUUCUCCUUGCAAAUGCUCUGUCACUUUUACAGCGUCUUGUACUUGUUCAGGGGGAUGCUUCCAAACCAGUGGAGGAGAGAAUUUCUUCCAAAAGUGGCCCAUUUUCUCCCGUGUUCCAUGCCAGUCAUGACUAUUCCCCAUCAGGGUCGAUCUCUGAAUAACCUCCCUAGAACUCCCUUUCCUGACUCCAGAGAUUAUAUGGAGUGCACUAAGGCCACCUGGCAAAAAUAUGAUUUCCUUAACGUCCAAAGGGAAUUCAGAACUUCAAAAGCUCUUUUAACAGGCCUCAAGGGGGAAAAGUGGGUGAAAGACUGGGGAAAAUCCUCCUCCCCUGUUCCCCCCUUGGGCUGGUCAUGAUUGUCAUGAAUGGAGUCCCAAAGGUAGUGCCCGAGGUAAGGGUACAAGAGCAAGACAUAUCCCAAAUGCCCCUCACUGCCCUUAAUGUUAUCAUGUCACAAACUGAUGUCCCACAGAACAUCACCAGAGCAGUGCUGAUCCCUCUCCCUGCUCUGAGAAAGAGCACUGUGAUGGGAACAUACAGAAAUAUCUACAGGGUUAGGUACCCACGUGAGCACGCCAAGCAACAUUUUGACCAGUGGCUCAGUACCUAAUACAGAAAAUGUUUGGAUCAGAUUUGUUUCCAACCCACUCUGGGCAGAUCUGUUGUCAUCUCAACCGUACAAGCCCUACCCUGGGAUGCCCAAAAAAAAAAGGCUGUUGUGGUUUAGGAAUGGUAUUACCCAAUUUAGUGUUCCCAUUAUAACUGUGCACUGCCACAGCCCCCACCUCCUUCCUUCCCCACGGUGGAAGGGAGAGGAGAAUUGAAGGCACAAAAGGUAAAAAAAUCUCAGGUUGAGACAGGAACAACUGACUGGAAACAGCAAUGAGAUAAGAAAAAUCAACAGCAACAACAUUAAUAACAAAAGUGUACAAAAGAGAGCAAAUCACAUGCAAAAUGCUCACCGCAGUGCACACUACCCUGACUGGAAGAGAUCCCCUCUCCCUGGAAGAGACUCCCUUCCUCCUGCCCCAGCAAUGAUGUGAGGUGGCAUUGAAGAACCUCUGGGUUCUGGCCACAUCCCCUCCUGGCUACUGCAAAAAUUAACUCUGUCCUGGCUGGAACCAGGACAGGGCUGACUGUGAUCCCAUAGUUCUGUGUGUGUGUGUGUGUGUGUGUGUGUGUGUAGGUCUUAGUACCUGUGUGGGUUGAUGUUUCUCGUGCAGAAGAGCAUUUCUUGGGUGCUGAUCUGGUUUAGCUACCUCACGGUGCAAGCUGGGCGCUGUCGUCACUGGGUUUCGUAUUGGGGACGGGGUGGGGAGUUUGUGGUGUAAGACUUUUCUUUUUUGUUCUCUUAAUUAUUGUUAUUGUUACGGUUUGGACACUUGAAUUCGUCCUGGGGAACAGGUGGCCUCGCUCCCACCUUGCUGCACGUCUGAGCCAGCCCCUGCAUUCCCCUCCCUGCCUCCUCCUGCAGGGCAGCAGGGCUGGAGCUCCCUGCGCUGCCAGCUCCCACCUUCGCAGUGGGAUCCCCCAGCGCGGCGGCAGCACCGAGAUUUUGCUCCCAUUUCUAGCAGGAUCCUUGGUCUGAGGAUCUGUGGGGUUGCAUUGGUUAUUCUGUGGAUCGGCAGCCCGGAUGUGGCUCCCACCUCGUCCCGUGGAAGGGUGGAAAGGGAACUCUGAAAGGCUCAGCUCAGCCCGUAUUUCUUCCUCUGCUCUCACAGAUAUCCUCUGUGGAUGCGAUGAAGGUCUCGGCUGGGAAAUGCCUGUGCAAAGCACAUUGCUGGAAUGGGCUGGUUCAGCCCCCGCUUCCCAGAGCCUGCUGCAGCUGCAGGGCAGCAGGGACUUGGUGCUGUAAGAGCCUCUGCUCAAGCUGGGGCUGGUCUGUGAGAAGCUGAUUCUGCUGUGUGAUGUUUGAUUUUUCACUCCCAAACCCCGUAGCUGUGUCUAGAUUCAGUCGCAGGCACUGAACACAAACAAGGGGGGCCCCGGAGCCCCCAGCUUUCUCUGCUUGGGGCUGGGAGCUGCCCUGGCACCGGGAAGGUGGGGAGCUCUGAGCCACACGGUCACUCUGGGCUGCAGGUCCUCCCGAACAGUAAAGCACAAGGUCCCACGUGCAGGUGGCUCCAGGAGGGGUGGCCCCUUGGCCCUUCAGAGCUGAGACAGCCGAGGAGGAGGUGGACUGGCACGAGGGCUCUUUGCCUGCCGUGCUGCAUCCCUUUGCACUGUGCUGGCUGCUCCCUGGAGCUCAGGCUGCACAACUCCAGUCCCCUCUGGUGGUCUCAGAGCCCCUCUGAGAGCCCCUCCAGGGCAGGGACACUUUGCAGCUGCCUUUGUACCAAGCACCUCAUUUUUCUUCGCCCUUGGGCGCCUUGAUUUGUUACAAGGGUGUCACAAAUCCUGCCUAUGUCCUUCCUCAAGCUGCUGGGUUAUGCUUUUUUCCCCAGGGCCUAACUCUACUCUCCUCACCCCCAGCACACAGGGGCCAGCUCCAGCCUCUGCAGAGGGCACAGGGCUGCCCCAGAGCUGAGCUUUGCACAAUGGGGUGGACAAGAGCCGGGAGCCUAAAAGCACUGGAUCCCCAAACCACUGUGAGCCCUCCUGAGCAGUGUCCCCUCCCUGUCACCUACAGCUCUGGGGACACAGGAUGGGCUGGCCAGCUGCGAAGAAUGGGAGCUCUGGGGUCCCGUCCUGUCCCCUCCAGGUGUGUUGUUCCUCCCCACCACCUCUGAGCGCAGCUGCUUUGGGGUCUCAGUUGCUGCCUCCUGCCUUGGUGCUGCAAAACCAGUGCCUGCUUCCCACGGUGCUCUCCCAGUGCCCCACACCAGUCCUUCCCCUGCCCCACGCUGAAGAGAGUCCAGGUACGACCCCUGCCAAGCCCAGGGUUCCAGCUCGCUUUCCACAGGUUCCCUGGAGCUUCACUGUCUCCCGCAGGCUGCUUGUCCUGAGCCCCCCUCACCCUUCUGGGAAGGGACGAGGACCCCCAGCCCCUCCAGGUGCUGCACGGUGCUCCAGCCGUAACUGGGACAGGCCAGCACAGACCCAACUCCCAGAAAAGUCCAACCCUGCACCUUCCUCCUGCCCCAGGGCUUGUCCCCUCAUCCCCCACAGCUCUGCCCUGCUUCCUACCAAUUGCUCCUCCUGGCCUGGGACCCCCAGGUCCGGCCCCACAGCAGGCUGGGGCAGCUGCAGCACUGUGUCACCUGCUCCGUCACUCCUCUCCGCACAAGGAGCACAAUAGCAGAUGCCUUUUCACACUCGGAGCUUUUUCCAGAGGCCGGCUGCUCUGAAGGCUGCUGUUGUCUCUGUGGGGGUUGUGCAGCCCGGCCCUGCUGUGGGUUGCUCAGAGCACGAGGUGUGUGCGUGUGUUUUAUACCUUGGUGUGUUCCUGUAAAUAGUGUAAGUUAUUGUGGUCUCCUGCUGUACGUUUUUCAAUGGCCGUGUUCGUUUCUUGCCUCUUUUGUCUUUGCAAAUAAAACGUUCUUGACAUGAAGGGAUGGAGCUCAGAGGUGGCUUUGAGGAGGGGAAGGGCACAGCCAGGAGCCUCCCAUCCCCUCCUGUUCCCAUGUGCCUGGCCCAGGGGCUGGGAUGGAUGGGGGACUGUGGCUGCAGCACUCCUGGCCCUGCCCGAUGGAGUGGGAAGUGUCCCUCCCCAUGACAGGGAUUAUUAGACGUGGUGGCCUUUGAAGGUGUCUUCCACCCCAAACCAUUCUGUGAUUCUGGAAUCCUGUUGGUUGGGACAAGAGGAAACACCCUCAAGUUGUUCCAGGGGAGGUUCAGGUUGGAUAUUGGGGAAAAUUUCUGCACCAAAAGGGUCGUCAGGCCUUGGCACAGACUGUCCAGGGCAGUGUCACCAUCCCUGGGAAUGUUCAAAAGAUGUGUGGAUGUGGCACUUGGGGACGUGGUUUAGUGGUGAACGUGGCAGUGCUGGGGAGGGGUUGGACUCGAUGAUCUUACAGGGCUUUCCCAAACGAACAUUUCCAUGAUUCUAAGUGACCUGGACCCCUGUGGGCAGCAGGUCCUCAGGCAGAA
RNA transcript from Hirundo rustica (Barn swallow), 13016 nucleotides. It is a transcript of the gene named kinesin family member 21B, with no coding region annotated. Lineage: Eukaryota; Metazoa; Chordata; Aves; Passeriformes; Hirundinidae. The record is from RefSeq and is a predicted model, not a curated record. The transcript has 36 exons.